GAUGAACGCUGGCGGCGUGCCUAAUACAUGCAAGUCGAGCGAACGGACGAGAAGCUUGCUUCUCUGAUGUUAGCGGCGGACGGGUGAGUAACACGUGGAUAACCUACCUAUAAGACUGGGAUAACUUCGGGAAACCGUAGCUAAUACCGGAUAAUAUUUUGAACCGCAUGGUUCAAAAGUGAAAGACGGUCUUGCUGUCACUUAUAGCUGGAUCCGCGCUGCAUUAGCUAGUUGGUAAGGUAACGGCUUACCAAGGCAACGAUGCAUAGCCGACCUGAGAGGGUGAUCGGCCACACUGGAACUGAGACACGGUCCAGACUCCUACGGGAGGCAGCAGUAGGGAAUCUUCCGCAAUGGGCGAAAGCCUGACGGAGCAACGCCGCGUGAGUGAUGAAGGUCUUCGGAUCGUAAAACUCUGUUACUAGGGAAGAACAUAUGUGUAAGUAACUGUGCACAUCUUGACGGUACCUAAUCAGAAAGCCACGGCUAACUACGU
This 496-nucleotide ribosomal RNA is filed under the name uncultured bacterium. Its description in RNAcentral is "partial 16S ribosomal RNA". It matches the Rfam family "Bacterial small subunit ribosomal RNA", at positions 28 to 506 of the family's 1533-position model. The record is from RNAcentral.